UUUGUGUAGGAUAGGUGGGAGACUGUGAAGUGGUCACGCUAGUGGUUGUGGAGUCGAAAGUUGAAAUACCACUCUGAUCGGAUUGAGCACCUGAACCUUGGCCCAUGAUCUGGGUUGGGGACAGUGCCUGGUGGGUAGUUUAACUGGGGCGGUUGCCUCCUAAAGUGUAACGGAGGCGCCCAAAGGUUCCCUCAGCCUGGUUGGCAAUCAGGUGGUGAGUGUAAGUGCACAAGGGAGCUUGACUGUGAGACUGACAGGUCGAGCAGGGACGAAAGUCGGGACUAGUGAUCCGGCACCUACUUGUGGAAGUGGUGUCGCUCAACGGAUAAAAGGUACCCCGGGGAUAACAGGCUGAUCUUCCCCAAGAGUCCAUAUCGACGGGAUGGUUUGGCACCUCGAUGUCGGCUCGUCGCAUCCUGGGGCUGGAGUAGGUCCCAAGGGUUGGGCUGUUCGCCCAUUAAAGCGGCACGCGAGCUGGGUUUAGAACGUCGUGAGACAGUUCGGUCUCUAUCCGCCGCGCGCGUUGAAACUUGAAGAAGGCUGUCCCUAGUACGAGAGGACCGGGACGGACGUACCUCUAGUGUGCCAGUUGUCACGCCAGUGGCAGGGCUGGUUGGCUACGUACGGGAGGGAUAACCGCUGAAAGCAUCUAAGCGGGAAGCCUGUUUUGAGAUGAGGUUUCUUUUGAGGUUCCCUCUAGACUAGGGGGUUGAUAGGCCAGAUCUGGAAGCGUAGUAAUGCGUUAAGGUGACUGGUACUAAUUUUACCGAGUAAUAACA
Molecule: ribosomal RNA, 779 nt
Filed under: Corynebacterium diphtheriae
Lineage: Bacteria; Bacillati; Actinomycetota; Actinomycetes; Mycobacteriales; Corynebacteriaceae
Description: bacterial LSU rRNA
Rfam family: Bacterial large subunit ribosomal RNA
Source: RNAcentral